GACGAACUGUGCAAACGUUAUUCGGAAUCACUGGGCUUGAAGAGUGCGUAGGCGGUUUCGUAAGUAGGGUGUGAAAGCCCCCGGCUCAACCGGGGAAUUGCGCCCUAAACUGCGAGGCUGGAGUGAGGUAGGGGUGUGUGGAACUUCCAGUGGAGCGGUGAAAUGUGUUGAUAUUGGAAGGAACGCCGGUGGCGAAAGCGACACACUGGACCUUGUCUGACGCUGAGGCACGAAAGUAUGGGGAGCAAACAGG
This 253-nucleotide ribosomal RNA is filed under the name uncultured bacterium. RNAcentral describes it as "partial 16S ribosomal RNA". It matches the Rfam family "Bacterial small subunit ribosomal RNA", at positions 524 to 776 of the family's 1533-position model. The record is from RNAcentral.